RNAcentral lists this ribosomal RNA (468 nucleotides) under uncultured bacterium. RNAcentral's name for it is "partial 16S ribosomal RNA". It matches the Rfam family "Bacterial small subunit ribosomal RNA", at positions 28 to 507 of the family's 1533-position model. The record is from RNAcentral.
GACGAACGCUGGCGGCGUGCUUAACACAUGCAAGUCGAACGGAAAGGCCCUGCUUUUGUGGGGUGCUCGAGUGGCGAACGGGUGAGUAACACGUGAGUAACCUGCCCUUGACUUUGGGAUAACUUCAGGAAACUGGGGCUAAUAUCGGAGAGGAGCUCCUGCUGCAUGGUGGGGGUUGGAAAGUUUCGGCGGUUGUGGAUGGACUCGCGGGUUAUCCGCUUGUUGGUGGGGUAGUGGCUUACCAAGGCUUUGACGGGUAGCCGGCCUGAGAGGGUGACCGGCCACAUUGGGACUGAGAUACGGCCCAGACUCCUACGGGAGGCAGCAGUGGGGAGUAUUGCACAGUGGGCGGAAGCCUGAUGCAGCAACGCCGCGUGCGGGAUGACGGCCUUCGGGUUGUAAACCGCUUUCGCCUGUGACGAAGCGUGAGUGACGGUAAUGGGUAAAGAAGCACCGGCUAACUACGUG